UACGUAGGGUGCGAGCGUUAAUCGGAAUUACUGGGCGUAAAGCGUGCGUAGGCGGUUCGUUAAGUCAGCUGUGAAAGCCCCGGGCUCAACCUGGGAAUUGCGGUUGAAACUGGCGAACUAGAAUCUGGCAGAGGGGGGUGGAAUUCCACGUGUAGCAGUGAAAUGCGUAGAGAUGUGGAGGAACACCGAUGGCGAAGGCAGCCCCCUGGGCUAAGAUUGACGCUCAGGCACGAAAGCGUGGGGAGCAAACAGG
This 253-nucleotide ribosomal RNA is filed under the name uncultured bacterium. RNAcentral's name for it is "partial 16S ribosomal RNA". It matches the Rfam family "Bacterial small subunit ribosomal RNA", at positions 524 to 776 of the family's 1533-position model. The record is from RNAcentral.